AGAGAGAGAGAGAGAGAGAGAGAGAGAGAGAGAGAGAGAGAGAGAGAGAGACAGAGACAGAGACAGAGAGAUGAGUAGGGUAUAAUUAGGCGGGGCAGGCUCUCCAACACACUCACUCCGCUGCCUGACUACAGCUCUGGACAGCCAAAACUUUUUUAUCCUCAGAAAUACUAUCAUUUAAAAACAUUAAAGAGAGUAAAACUAGAGGCCAAGUCCACCCCUUUCCCCACAUCAUCUCUUUCUGCAUCUGCUUUGAGGAAUGUCUCUGUAUUACCUACAGUGUCAAAGAGCUGCAUCAACCAUUUUUCCACAUACCGUAUGGCCAUCCAUCCCCAUCCAUUUUCUGUGACGCCAUUUUUUUAUUCUAUAUGUCUGUGUACAGUCUGACAAUAUAUUUUCUACAUCCCUUCCACCUCCAAUGUCAUUACAAGUCCAAACAGAUACUGGACUACACCAUUGAAUCCUCCUCACUCAUCACUCCUCCCCAUUCCUUGUUCUUCACAUAUAUUGAUCCUCUGUUCAAUACUCCUCCUCUUCUGUGCUGUUGUUUUAUCCUCCACUCUGCUGCUCUUCUUUCUACCUUCUUCUCCCAGUAAAGAUGUCCCUGCUUUGCAUUGGUUGGAGGAUUGCUGAAACUCUAAAAGACUCUUGCUAUAUACUGGAUAUAUAUAUAAAAUCUAAAAGUUUCUAUAUGAUAUAAUCUAUGAUUAACAGAAUCUGGUUGAAUAUCGUAUUUCCGUAUUUCAAUGUUAACAUUUUGUGAUUGUGAGUGGAUUAUGAGGCUGCCCUUAACUACUGAUGCUUCUUGUUCUUGUUUCGGUCGAAAUGUGGCUAAACUGAAACUAUACCAGAAAAACUAUAAAGGAAUUUUAUUAUGAUUAUUAACUGUAUAAAUCCUCCCGUUUAUUUAUCAAUCAAUUUAUCUAUAGUUUUUUAUUUUCUUUGAUCCAAUAAAAUUGAAAUGGUACUUUUAUUUUUCUUAAACCUAAUCCGAGACUCUCAUUGCGAUUCAUUUGCUAAAACCUAGUUGGCAUAACAUCUAAGACCGUCUCCACCCAUCACCCCAUCUUCCAUAUCACUUACUCCAAAAAGUUGGAGUAAGUGAUAAUCAAGAUGUAGCGUGUGCGUGUGUGCGUGCGUGCGUGUGUGUAUACAGUAUGUACUGCAUGUGUGUGUUCAUGUGUACGAGAGCCAACGUUGUUCUGCAUGUGUGUGUGACAGUGUUUUCCCAGUGAUAUUGUGCUGUCUUCCUGGCCGCUGAUCCACUGUAAAGAGAGAUUCAGUCUGGUGAUUGGGGGCUUCCUCCACUCUUCUCUUACUGCUGCUCACUCUCAAGACUUUAAUGAGCUCCUGGGGGGAAAUUAGUGCUGGCAUAAUAAGCUAACUCUGCUGCUUAUACAAAGAUCAUGUUAUGUUCAUUUCUCCCAUUUUCUCUUUUCCUCUCUUUUCGUCCUCUUUUUCCACUCUCGCAUUCUGCUCAAGAUAAGCAUUUAAAGAGCGGCGAAGGGAAUUUUAACCUUGUGAUGUGUUUUUAUGUCUUAGUGAUUAUGUAGUCUUGUUUAUCUAUGUAUUUAUGGGUAACCUUUUGGUGUUACCUUUUUUUAAUCCGUUUAUCACUUAUUCAUUUAUGAAUUUAGCUUGUGCGUACAAGGCCUUUCUUACUGCGCGGUCAAUCCAAGGUCCACGUCCUCUAAACAUAAUUUGAUUGAGGGAGAUGAAGUUAAAUGUCAUUUUCUGCAGUGGGUCACAGCCUAGCAAGCAGGGUGGUUUGGAGAAAGCCAGGCUGGCAUGGCACCCUACCUGAUCUCACCCCUCUGCCCUCCCUCAUCCUCUCCUCUCAAUGUCAGGGAAACAGCUGACAGUGAGUGUGAAGCCCAUGUAUGGAAAUGUACACAGAUUUCUUGCUGUCCUCCACACUUUCCACAUUUCAUAUGGGCGGGCAGACAGACAGGGCCUAUGGCAGGACAGCUCAGCUCAGCCCUGAACCAAACACCCUACGAACCCCAUGACACAAACCCCAUGGUUCGUCCUUCUGCUUUUACAUGUCUCACAUGUGUACGUAUAGGCCUACUGUAUGUGCUGUGUAUUGUCAACAUUUGUCCUGUUUCAUGUUGCAAAGUGGGUGAGGAAAGAUUCUCAUCAUAGAUUUAGGGUAGAGUGAGAGUUUGCGCAUUUGAGCUGACUUGUUAAUAUCAAGGGUCUUGUUAUUCACAGAGAAACGUCUUGCUUAAUAGUGAGUGAUAUGUGUUUGGAGCUAUGAUUUGUUUUAUCCAUGGAGCGAGCUGAGAGGAGGGAAGUGGUGCAUAACCUUUGGGAAGUGGAUAUUAUUCGUACAUGACUGACUGAAUGUGUACUUUUUUUGUACUGUUUGACUGUAUGUGCCAUAUGCACUGAGUUCACUGGAGGCUAGUGGAGAAAGAUGAACUGAGAGAUGAGAGAUAGUGUUAGAAACUUAGUUAUUAAUUGAAAUAAAUAAUUCAGUGGAUGUUCUGAUUCUGUAGCAUGUAGUGUCAGUGCUGGCACUGAAGCGUCUAAAAUGCAGAAAAAGAGUAGAGAGUGGCAGCCAUAUCUAGUGGUAGUAAUCUGGGCAGUGUCUGGUGAAACUAAUCUGGUAGUCUGGGCCGUGUGUGGUGAAACUAUUCUGGUAGUCUGGGCCGUGUGUGGUGAAACUAUUCUGGUAGUCUGGGCCGUGUGUGGUGAAACUAUUCUGGUAGUCUGGGCCGUGUGUGGUGAAACUAAUCUGGUAGUGUGGGCCAUGUGUGGUGAAACUAUUCUGGUAGUCUGGGCAGUUGACUGGAGUGAUUCAUGCGAUCCAUCUCUUCCACUCUGGCAAAGUUCGAACGCAGUCCUAGAACAACGACGGCGGGAGAGCAGGGCCCCUAAAGCAACAGGGAUAGAACGGCCAUAUGGUAGCUGUCCUGGAUGCGCUCUCCAGCUAAUGAUCGAUAGACGGGUAGGAGCGAUACAUACAGUAGGUGACCAUCAAACCACACACGUACGCACAAAUGCACAGUUGCACACACCACGCACACGCACGCAGCCAUAUCUAGUGGUAGUAGUCUGGGCCGUGUGUGGUGAAACUAAUCUGGUAGUCUGGGCUGUGUGUGGUGGUAGUAGUCUGGGCCGUGUGUGGUGAAACUAAUCUGAUAGUCUGGGCCGUGUGUGGUGAAACUAAUCUGGUAGUCUGGGCAGUGUGUGGUGGUAGUAGUCUGGGCUGUGUGUGGUGAAACUAAUCUGGUAGUCAGGGCAGUGUGUGGUGAAACUAAUCUGGUAGUCUGGGCAGUGUGUGGUGGUAGUAGUCUGGGCCGUGUGUGGUGAAACUAAUCUGGUAGUCAGGGCAGUGUGUGGUGAAACUAAUCUGGUAGUCUGGGCAGUGUGUGGUGAAACUAAUCUGGUAGUCUGGGCAGUGUGUGGUGAAACUAAUCUGGUAGUCUGGGCAGUGUGUGGUGGUAGUAGUCUGGGCCAUGUGUGGUGAAACUAAUCUGGUAGUCUGGUUAGUGUGUGGUGGUGGUAGUCUGGGCCAUGUGUGGUGAAACUAAUCUGGUAGUCUGGGCAGUGUGUGGUGGUGGUAGUCUGGGCCAUGUGUGGUGAAACUAAUCUGGUAGUCUGGGCUGUGUGUGGUGAAACUAAUCUGGUAGUCAGGGCAGUGUGUGGUGAAACUAAUCUGGUAGUCUGGGCAGUGUGUGGUGAAACUAAUCUGGUAGUCUGGGCAGUGUGUGGUGGUGGUAGUCUGGGCCAUGUGUGGUGAAACUAUUCUGGUAGUCUGGGCAGUGUGUGGUGAAACUAAUCUGGUAGUCUGGGCAGUGUGUGGUGGUGGUAGUCUGGGCCAUGUGUGGUGAAACUAUUCUGGUAGUCUGGGCAGUGUGUGGUGAAACUAAUCUGGUAGUCUGGGCCAUGUGUGGUGAAACUAUUCUGGUAGUCUGGGCAGUGUGUAGUGAAACUAAUCUGGUAAUCUGGGCCAUGUGUGGUGAAACUAAUCUGGUAGUCUGGGCAGUGUGUGGUGGUAGUAGUCUGGGCUGUGUGUGGUGAAACUAAUCUGGUAGUCUGGGCAGUGUGUGGUGAAACUAAUCUGGUAGUCUGGGCAGUGUGUGGGGGUAGUAGUCUUUGCUGUGUGUAGUCUGGGACGUGUCUGGUGGUACUAGUCUGGGCCAUGUGUGGUGGUAGUAGUCUGGGCAGAGAGUGGUGCCGCCAUGCAGCCCCACUGAGGCCCUCAUUAGUAUCCGCUGGCUGGCCCAGACGUCUUAGGGUGUGACACUAACAAGAGCUGAGGGCCCAGCCACGCGGAAACACACACAGUAUAGUACAGCAGAGAGAGAGAGAGAGAGAGAUGCUCAGUGAAAGGGAGACAUUAUCUUUUUCUGUUUAACCUGCCAUGAAACAGUUGGGGCUCACAGGAAUACAGUGUGGCAGCAACGUUUGGGUGGUGUAAACAACAUUUGUAGACGUUAGGGAGAUGCUUGUGGUGGAGCUGUUGGUAAGGCAUGUAGUGGAGGUUAGCAUAUCUAGGGAAGCUGCUGUGCAGGUUCUGAAUUUUAUACUAGGCCUAUGUGUAUUUUUUCUGCUCACUCGUGUGUGUGUGUGUGUGUUACAGUAGGAGGGCAAAGGAUCAAUGAUAGAGUACCCAAGGUGCUGUCUGAGGAGAUGAGCUCAUGAUUAUUUAUCGUAAUAUAAAUGCAAAACCUUUGCGUGAGACUGGGUGAGAUAAGGUAGCCCACUGUAAUUUGUUUUGUCGCAUACACCAGGUGCGUCGGUUGGGCACAUGCCCGGUCCGUUGACUGGAGUGAUUCAUGCGAUCCAUCUCUUCCGCUCUGGCAAAGUUCGAACGCGGCCCUAGAACAACGACGGCGGGAGAGCAGGGCCCCUAAAGCAACAGGGAUAGAACGGCCAUAUGGUAGCUGUCCUGGAUGCGCUCUCCAGCUAAUGGUCGAUAGACGGGUAGGAGCGAUACAUACAGUAGGUGACCAUCAAACCACACACAUGUACGCACAAAUGCACAGUUGCACACACCACGCACACGCACGGACGCACACGACUUAAGUUUAGGACAACGUGAAUUUUAGCUUUUAUAUUUCGAUACCAGCACUUCUUAUACAGUAUAUCAAGCAAUUUAGAGUUGGAAAGACGUUUAAAAACAAGUGUAAUGUGCGUUAUUACUUUGUCUAUAAGGGAAUAAACUAUAUUCCAAUAUCGACAUAAAAAAAUGUGGAUCAUAUUCAAAGAUAUUGAUAUGAGUCCAAGUAAAACCCAGCACGGCAUCCACAUAGACGUGACCCCCAGAACGCCCUGAUCAGGCUUCCGACAGUGUACAGUAGGUUAUUUUAAACUCUACUCAUAAUUGCUGAGCGAUGAAUAGACAGCCUGACGUUCCAUGUCAUAUUGUGCCUAAUUGGCGAAAACACACUGUUGCUGUACACACAAAUAAAAACACUGUUAGUGGAAGGAAAAUGUCAGGCUCAUUUUAGUGUCGAGUCUACUUAAGUGGCCAUGUGCAUUGAAUAUGAAUCGCAUAGAGUAAUUGUAAAUUCUUUAUCGAGGAAUGUUUUUUCUAGAGAGUUGCACUUUGGUCCCAGCUCCCUGAAGAAUUAAGCUCGACGAAAUGUGGCAGUAUGUUCAGUUAGUAGGCAUAAUGAAAUAACAUUUGUAAUAAUUUUCUAAAAUAUACACACUUGCAAUAUGUAUAAAUAUUAUAUUGCUGUCUUGGUAGGCUGCGCUGAGAUACAGACCAUACAGGCCAGGGUUGUGCGAAUGUUUUCCGAUUUAAACAAUUGUUUUCUUGAUUCAUGUUUGAUUCGUGGUGUGAAAUAGAUUAUCACAUGAAUGGUUUGCACCUCAUCCUAUUCAUUUGAUAAAGACAUUGUGGAAUAUAAUCGAGAGGCUGUGAACAAAGAAAUUGGCUACUUGAAAAAUGGAUAGCCUAAAAUAUGAUGCACUGCUAACUAUAUAAUUGCGCUAUUCAUUUAGCAGAUAAACGUGAUUUUCUUUUAACCUUCAUUAAAAUCCACAACCGAUUAAAUUGAUCAGAGGGAAUAUGACAAGCAGUUGUUCAAAAUACAUUUCAGUCUUCCCCAGAACUUCGUCCCCCAAAUUGCUCAGUGAGCACAUCUAUAGACUUUCCCUCUCUUACAAUCCCUGUACGCUGAGGGGAGGCGCAGUCACUCUCCCGGCUCUAUCAUAGCCAAUUUUACACCAAAUUAGUCUUCAAACAAGCUCAAUAAAGACAGACUCUAGUUGGCACCCCGUGCGAGUGUAAACAUGAUUAUUUCUAGGAAGUGGCUUCAAAUUUGGAGUACAGUGACAAGCAAUUAGAAGCCAAGUUAACGGUGGUAAUUCUUCAAAUGCUGUGGUGAAAAGAGAGAAGGAGAGCAAGCGCUGCAAUUAAAAGGGAACGUGGCGAGACCCCACAGAUUUAAUCUUAAUUGCCAUAUGAGGGACCCUAUUAAGGAUGUUUACUUUUACUGUGAUGCUCGGGCAAGAGGGGAGUUAUUAUAGCGGUUCUGAAAUUAAAUUAACCGCCCGCUGGAUUUGAUAUGCCUACUGCUGUAGGGAUUGUGAGUCGACAGCUGAUGGUAGCGGAUUUGACACCACUCUUGUCCGAGGUUAUUUGAGAGCGUAUCCGGUGGAGACAAUUACGCACGCUUUCUGCAACCCAGAAAAUAUUGUUUUGAACGUGACCAUGAUUGUUCAGUUUUCUGGGUUUACUUUUAAGUCAGUAAGCUAUAGUUGCAUUUAUGUAGAUGGUUGUUUUUCUGGCUUUUACUCAGGCUGAUUGGUAGAUUAAAUGCUUAUUAAGCAUCGAUCUGUUGACGUAACCACGGAAACUACGCGCAACAAACAGCGAGUUAUUAAUCGCCUGUCACGUCCCACAUGGGUAAGCACUCUUAAUUCGCAUAAUCAACUAAAUCAAAAUUAGAUUCUGUUCGAAAUGUAUUCGUUUCACUGGCUUUUUAAUUUACCCGGUUCUCUGUGGAGCAUAAGGGCUCAUACAUAGAAGAUCGAACCGCCAGCCCCCUAUCAUCACCAUCACGACCGCCAGAGCUACAGAACAAAUGGAAGACUCUCCUGAGAUCAAAUAAAAGGAGGAAACAUUGGGAGGAAUAGACAUUGGGAGGAAUUCCCAUCACUUCACGACUCUCUUGGCAGUGUGUCACCUCGGUCGCAAUGGGCCAUGUCGGACAUGCCGUGGCCUUUACUGCUCAGAAAGACAACAUUUCGUUUUCACUACUUCUGCACCUGUUCAUGUCGCCUACCAGAUUUAUACUAACAUUUUAGGCCUAAGUGUAGUCUAGUUCCUCUAUGUUAAUUGGAAACCAAACAGGAUCACAAUAAACGCGUUGCAUAACACGCAUCAACAAAGGAAGACAAACUCAAGCAGUUAUUGCUUUCUGGUGAGCCUCUGCACUAGAAUUUAAUGUGCCCCCGGCGCGCCUUUCCUCGGGGAAAUAAAGCGGCAAACCACAGGGAUUAAAAUGGUUUACAAAAUGUUCAAACAUAACACUGUCAGCUGCUAGAAAAUCUGGGGAAUCGAUGUUGCUGUGGACUGUCUCUCCUGAUAAGUUUCGUACACGCUGCGUUUAUGAAUAGAUGGUGUUAAAAUUUGUGCACCAGAACCUUAUUUUAGCUCUCCAACAGAUAGUUUUACAGAUGCUACUGAUAUGUGACAAACUCACCACAUAAACACUCCUUCUAACCGUUGAGUCAAUAUCAGGAAGUGACACAUUGUGCUAGUUUUCUCACAUUACCUUCUAGACUCAAACUCUGACUUUAUAUUAUCACAGCCAUUGCCAAAGAAAAGUGUGAUUUACAGAUGCAACCAAACCAUCUACUGUUCUUUCUUCGUGUGUAGGUCUCUUCUCUCAUUUAAAUGUUGUCAUAAUUUUUUUGACGUCUGCUGUCCACUGUCCUGUGGUGCUGAGUGUCCGAUCUCGCAGUCCUGACUGCGCCACUGUCCAUGGUGCUAAAAUCUCAGCUCGUCGCUAUACAUUGGACCUUAAACGUCCUUCUGUGUGCGUGCAUGCGUGUAUAAAUACGUGAAAGAGAGUGAGAGCGAGUGUGUACUGGCUGAGUGGUUCAGUAAUUUGGAGCAAUGGGGCUAUUUUGAAUGGAGCUGUACACAUAGACUAUUAGGAUAUUACAUUUAUGGUCCUGCAAUUCCUCCUAGAGCUCUUUAGGAGCUGUAAAACUGUCUCUGCGCCUAAACCUGUCAUUGCUAAAAAAAAAAAAAAAAAAAAAAGGCCUGCAAAUCUAU
Long non-coding RNA from Coregonus clupeaformis (lake whitefish), 8245 nucleotides. RefSeq lists it as uncharacterized. The transcript has 2 exons. Lineage: Eukaryota; Metazoa; Chordata; Actinopteri; Salmoniformes; Salmonidae. The record is from RefSeq and is a predicted model, not a curated record.